AAUUAUUGAAAAAUUUGUGGACUGUUAAAUUCAGUGUUUUUUUGUGGUUAUAUUUUGUCAGUCAAGUUCCUUUGUUUUGGAAUUUUUUUUGGAGUGUAAAAAUGACAGAACACUAAGAAGAUAAAUUAAACCGUCCACUUACCACAUUCCUCACGUGUCAUUGAGUAGAUGACAUUCUUAAUCAGGAUACGCUCAAAAUUAUCAAGAAUAAAUUUUAUCAGCUGGAUCCUGCCCGUUAGAUUUGCUCCGCAAAAAUUCCACGAGGUUAGAAUCUGGAGGCUUAGUCAAGGAAUGACGAGCUAAAGACACGGAUGAGAAAAGAAUCCGUGGUACCUGUUGGGGACUAGUGUGUUAAUACUUUUAUACACACGGAUGCUGGUAGCUGAGAGUGACAUGCCAGGUAUUGCUGGGUAACGAGAGUGUGUGAGUGUGUGAUGAAAGGUAUGGAGUCACAUGGAAUGGAGAAAAGUUCCAGGGAAGACAAAGACAAAGGCUGGGGACUCACGGGCCCACUGAUCUAAGCGACGCUGUUCUUUGUGCGGUAGGACAAUCGAGUUCAGAAGGAUCUUCUCCGCGGCUAGAUUAACACUAGUCCCGAGAAUUGAUAUCGAGGGGUUCAGUUUUCCAUUGCUGUUAAAGAGCGGGGGGUUCUCCAUCUUGGCGAACGG
Long non-coding RNA from Cotesia glomerata, 668 nucleotides. RefSeq lists it as uncharacterized. The transcript is spliced from 5 exons. The record is from RefSeq and is a predicted model, not a curated record. Lineage: Eukaryota; Metazoa; Arthropoda; Insecta; Hymenoptera; Braconidae.